This 487-nucleotide ribosomal RNA is filed under the name Centipeda artemidis. Its description in RNAcentral is "bacterial SSU rRNA". It matches the Rfam family "Bacterial small subunit ribosomal RNA", at positions 28 to 486 of the family's 1533-position model. The record is from RNAcentral. Lineage: Bacteria; Bacillati; Bacillota; Negativicutes; Selenomonadales; Selenomonadaceae.
GACGGACGCUGGCGGCGUGCUUAACACAUGCAAGUCGAACGGGGCGAAUGAAAGCUUGCUUUUAUGAGCUUAGUAGCAAACGGGUGAGUAACACGUAGACAACCUGCCGAUCAGAUGGGGACAACAUUCCGAAAGGAAUGCUAAUACCGAAUGGCGUGUAGGGGAGGCAUCUUCCCUACAUGAAAGAUGGCCUCUAUAUAUAAGCUAUCACUGAUCGAUGGGUCUGCGUCUGAUUAGCUAGUAGGUAAGGUAACGGCUUACCUAGGCGACGAUCAGUAGCCGGUCUGAGAGGAUGAACGGCCACAUUGGGACUGAGACACGGCCCAGACUCCUACGGGAGGCAGCAGUGGGGAAUCUUCCGCAAUGGGCGCAAGCCUGACGGAGCAACGCCGCGUGAGUGAAGAAGGUCUUCGGAUCGUAAAGCUCUGUUGAAGGGGACGAACGAUCGAGGGGCGAACAGGCUCUCGGUAUGACGGUACCUUUGAGG